RNAcentral lists this long non-coding RNA (1464 nucleotides) under Oncorhynchus kisutch (coho salmon). Its description in RNAcentral is "lncRNA (ENSOKIG00005015457.1)". The record is from RNAcentral. Lineage: Eukaryota; Metazoa; Chordata; Actinopteri; Salmoniformes; Salmonidae.
CAGCAUUCAGGGCUCGAACCACCCAGUUUAUAUAUUUGAUUGAAGAAUAACAACAUUUCUGCUAUACUGCAGGAUUGCUGUCCUUUUCCUUUGAGGGAAUCGUGGAACCGUGGAAGAGGCAAGAAGAGACAAAAAUUAUUUGAAGGAAUCUGCAGUUCGUGUGCCCUUACAAUUGUAUUUUACACACACAGUUCUCAGCAGCUUGGUCAGUGUAGUAGAGGACAGUAGAGGAGGAGGAUAGAGAGAAGCAGAGGAGGACAUACCAGAGGGAGAAAGAGAGAGGGAGCUCUGCAGCAGGAUCCCCACCGUGCUGAGCACAGGACUGCGUGACUGGUCUGUGCUGGGUGAGGGGGAGGGGAGGCAUAUCAGUGCAACACAGCCUUACUGGAUGAGUAGCAGCAGUAACACUAGCAGCAUCUCAUUUGUGGCUGCUGGGGGCUCGGUCUCACACACACAGGCGCUCCCAGCGCCACCGUAACACAUACGCAGUGGCAGCCACAGCCGUCGUUAGAGCCUGGGCUGGGGCAGGGACGGGGACCGCUACUGUGACGACUGGAGCUACGGCGAUAGCAGCUGCUGCACCAUGGCACAAGCCGCCAAGCAGCUACGCAAGAACAAGGACCUAGCGGAGCUCGCAGCUCAGGAGCUGAAGGAUAAGGAGGAGGAGAAGAACAAGAAGAGGAAUCGAUCGAGGGACCGAAGACGCAAGUGAUGGUGUAUUGGGCCUGUGGGAGCUGGUGGAGUCAUUGACCGUGUGGUGCUGAGUGCUCUUUAUAGGACCUGCUGCCACACGACUCUCAGAUACACAGACUUCCUCUCCUCCUAGCACCUGCUGGAGCACCGCUUAACCAACCUAACUUUAGAGCUGACAGAGACAGACUACAUACACAUCUAGUGUUGUAUUAUUCCAGAGUCUAUUUAUAAGUGGUCCAGAGUCUAUAUUUAAGUGGUCAAGAGUCUAAAUAUAAGCUGUACACAAUAUAUAAAUAUUUGAUGUCCUCGUUGUUAAACCCUCUGUGUCACGUUCUGACCUUUAUUUCCUUUGUUUUGUCAUUAUUUAGUAUGGUCAGGGCGUGAGUUGGGUGGGCAGUCUAUGUUUGUUUUUCUAUGAUUUGGGUAUUUCUAUGUUUCGGCCUAGUAUGGUUCUCAAUCAGAGGCAGGUGUCAUUAGUUGUCUCUGAUUGAGAAUCAUACUUAGGUAGCCUGGGUUGCACUGUUUGUUUGUGGGUGAUUGUCUAUGUUGAUGGCUUGUUUCAGCGCAGCUCGCAUUAGCUUCACAGUUGUUAUUUUGUUUACUGUUUUUGUAUAGUGUGUUUCAGUGUUCAGUUCUUUCUUUAUUAAACAUUCAACAUGAACACAUAUCACGCCGCAUUUUGGUCCUCCGAUCCUUCUCGCCUCUCCUCUUCAGAUGAAGAGGAGGACGACCGUGACACUCUGUUUAUAUGUUUAAUUUACCUUGGCAUAU